RNAcentral lists this unclassified non-coding RNA (273 nucleotides) under air metagenome. Its description in RNAcentral is "partial contains small subunit ribosomal RNA, internal transcribed spacer 1, and 5.8S ribosomal RNA". The stretch from base 1 to 46 matches the Rfam family "Eukaryotic small subunit ribosomal RNA", at positions 1786 to 1831 of the family's 1831-position model. The record is from RNAcentral.
AAGUCGUAACAAGGUUUCCGUAGGUGAACCUGCGGAAGGAUCAUUAUCGAGUUUUGACUGGGUUGUAGCUGGCCUUUUGAGGCACCGUGCACGCCCUGCUCAUCCACUCUACACCUGUGCACUCACUGCGGGCUUCGGAUGGCGGAGCGGACCUUUACCGGUUUGCGAAGCGUCCGGGUCCGCGUUUAUCAUAAACACUUUAAAAGUAUCAGAAUGUGUAUCGCGAUGUAACGCAUCUAUAUACAACUUUCAGCAACGGAUCUCUUGGCUCUC